UACGUAGGGGGCAAGCGUUGUCCGGAAUCAUUGGGCGUAAAGAGCGUGUAGGCGGUCCGGUAAGUCGGCUGUGAAAGUCCAGGGCUCAACCCUGGGAUGCCGGUCGAUACUGCCGGACUAGAGUUCGGAAGAGGCGAGUGGAAUUCCCGGUGUAGCGGUGAAAUGCGCAGAUAUCGGGAGGAACACCAAUGGCGAAGGCAGCUCGCUGGGACGUUACUGACGCUGAGACGCGAAAGCGUGGGGAGCGAACAGG
Molecule: ribosomal RNA, 253 nt
Filed under: uncultured bacterium
Lineage: Bacteria
Description: partial 16S ribosomal RNA
Rfam family: Bacterial small subunit ribosomal RNA
Source: RNAcentral